AGCAGUUAAGUUCUCUCUCUCUCGUUCCUUUUUGUUGUUUUAGCUCGACCACUCAUUUUAUUUUCCUGUCAUAACCAAGCAGGCUGAUAUAAAAAUGGUAUAAAAAAAAACAGCAGCACUUGUUGACUACGGUGGAAACUAGGUCCGCCUGGCAUCGCGACCCCAGCGGAGAGGCAGUAAUCAGGAUAAAGCACUACGCCAGUCGAGCGGGACACCAGUCAGUAUGUGAGCUGCUCCUGGACCAGGGGGCCCGUGCUAAUUCUCAAACUGCAUAAGGCUGCUGAGCAGGGUCACGUGGACAUGUGCGAGUUGUUGGUGAUGAACUGUCCUGCCUUGAGAAGCAUGAAGGAUAAAAGAUCACGCUUACCUUCAGACCUUUGCCUGAAGAACAGUGCCUUACUGGAGUUACUAAACCCUCAAUGACCUGCUGUGCUGCUUUGAUGCCCAAAUGAACUUCAGAUCCUCUACAAGUCAGUUUUGUACAAGCAGUGGGACCCUGCGUGAGGUUCUUCUUGGACUGCAGGAUGGAAACCAUCGCAGGAACCCCACUUAGGCUUGUGUCCAAGCAUGGAAAUAAAUGUUUUUGUUUAA
This is a long non-coding RNA of Astyanax mexicanus (Mexican tetra), 591 nucleotides long. RefSeq lists it as uncharacterized. The transcript has 3 exons. Lineage: Eukaryota; Metazoa; Chordata; Actinopteri; Characiformes; Acestrorhamphidae. The record is from RefSeq and is a predicted model, not a curated record.